This 253-nucleotide ribosomal RNA is filed under the name uncultured bacterium. RNAcentral describes it as "partial 16S ribosomal RNA". It matches the Rfam family "Bacterial small subunit ribosomal RNA", at positions 524 to 776 of the family's 1533-position model. The record is from RNAcentral.
UACGAAGGGGGCUAGCGUUGCUCGGAAUGACUGGGCGUAAAGCGCGCGUAGGCGGCUUUGCAAGUCGGGUGUGAAAUCCCCAGGCUUAACCUGGGAACUGCAUUCGAGACUGCAUUGCUAGAGUAUGGGAGAGGGAAGUGGAAUUUCCGGUGUAGCGGUGAAAUGCGUAGAUAUCGGAAGGAACAUCAGUGGCGAAAGCGACUUCCUGGACCAAUACUGACGCUCAUGUGCGAAAGCGUGGGGAGCAAACAGG